Molecule: ribosomal RNA, 194 nt
Filed under: uncultured Paraglomus
Lineage: Eukaryota; Fungi; Glomeromycota; Glomeromycetes; Paraglomerales; Paraglomeraceae
Description: partial 18S ribosomal RNA
Rfam family: Eukaryotic small subunit ribosomal RNA
Source: RNAcentral
AGCAGCCGCGGUAAUUCCAGCUCCAAUAGCGUAUAUUAAAGUUGUUGCAGUUAAAAAGCUCGUAGUUGAACUUCGGGCUUACUUGUACUGUCAGGCCUCUGGCCUCGUACGGUACGGGUUUGCCUUACCUUCUGAGGACUCGGGUACUCUUAACUGGGUGCUUCGAGGACUCAGGACUCUUACCUUGAAUAAAU